UGAAACUCGCCUGUAUGAAGAUGGAGUUGCUAGUAAUCGCGAAUCAGAAUGUCGCGGUGAAUACGUUCCCGGGUCUUGUACACACCGCCCGUCACACCAUGAGAGUUGGCAACACCCGAAACCUGUGGGCUAACCGAAAGGAGGCAGCAGUCUAAGGUGGGGUCAGUGAUUGGGGUGAAGUCGUAACAAGGUAGC
This 195-nucleotide ribosomal RNA is filed under the name uncultured bacterium. RNAcentral's name for it is "partial 16S ribosomal RNA". It matches the Rfam family "Bacterial small subunit ribosomal RNA", at positions 1306 to 1500 of the family's 1533-position model. The record is from RNAcentral.